UGCCUUCGGGAGCCUGAACACGGGUGCUGCAUGGCUGUCGUCAGCUUCGKGUCGUGAGAUGUUGGGUUAAGUCCCGUAACGAGCGSAACCCUUGUCCUUAGUUGCCAGCGGUUCGGCCGGGAACUCUAAGGAGACUGCCGGUGAUAAACCGGAGGAAGGUGGGGACGACGUCAAGUCAUCAUGGCCCUUAUGGGCAGGGCUACACACGUGCUACAAAGGCCAGUACAGAAGGUUGCCAACCCGCGAGGGGGAGCUAAUCCUGAAAAGCUGGUCGUAGUCCGGAUCGCAGUCUGCAACUCGACUGCGUGAAGUCGGAAUCGCUAGUAAUCGCGAAUCAGCAUGUYGCGGUGAAUACGKUCCCSSGCCUUGUACACACCGCCCGUCACACCAUGGGAGUGGGCUGCACCAGAAGUAGGUUGCUUAACCCGUAAGGGAGGCGCUUACCA
Molecule: ribosomal RNA, 446 nt
Filed under: uncultured bacterium
Lineage: Bacteria
Description: bacterial SSU rRNA
Rfam family: Bacterial small subunit ribosomal RNA
Source: RNAcentral